AGGAUGACCCAGCCACACUGGAACUGAGACACGGUCCAGACUCCUACGGGAGGCAGCAGUGGGGAAUAUUGCACAAUGGGCGCAAGCCUGAUGCAGCCAUGCCGCGUGUAUGAAGAAGGCCUUCCGGGUUGUAAAGUACUUUCAGCGGGGAGGAAGGCGAUGUGGUUAAUAACCGCNUCGAUUGACGUUACCCGCAGAAGAAGCACCGGCUAACUCCGUGCCAGCAGCCGCGGUAAUACGGAGGGUGCAAGCGUUAAUCGGAAUUACUGGGCGUAAAGCGCACGCAGGCGGUCUGUUAAGUCAGAUGUGAAAUCCCCGGGCUUAACCUGGGAAGNNGCAUUUGAAACUGGCAGGCUUGAGUCUCGUAGAGGGGGGUAGAAUUCCAGGUGUAGCGGUGAAAUGCGUAGAGAUCUGGAGGAAUACCGGUGGCGAAGGCGGCCCCCUGGANGAAGACUNNCNCUCAGGUGCUGAAAGCGUGGGGAGCAAACAG
RNAcentral lists this ribosomal RNA (490 nucleotides) under Pantoea sp. A-Se-D-1-1. Its description in RNAcentral is "bacterial SSU rRNA". It matches the Rfam family "Bacterial small subunit ribosomal RNA", at positions 297 to 775 of the family's 1533-position model. The record is from RNAcentral. Lineage: Bacteria; Pseudomonadati; Pseudomonadota; Gammaproteobacteria; Enterobacterales; Erwiniaceae.